AGCUUAUUCAGAGAAGUUGAGGGAAUUGGCCCGACGACACUUCAGCAACCGGUCAUAACAGAUACGGUGCUACUACCAACGAGUAUACUCGCAUAAUAAGGA
RNAcentral lists this non-coding RNA (102 nucleotides) under Staphylococcus aureus. Its description in RNAcentral is "SAM-I sequence". It matches the Rfam family "SAM riboswitch aptamer (S box leader)". From Rfam's summary of the family: The SAM riboswitch is found upstream of a number of genes which code for proteins involved in methionine or cysteine biosynthesis in Gram-positive bacteria. The SAM riboswitch acts at the level of transcription termination control. The predicted structure consists of a complex stem-loop region followed by a single stem loop terminator region. The record is from RNAcentral. Lineage: Bacteria; Bacillati; Bacillota; Bacilli; Caryophanales; Staphylococcaceae.